GACGAACGCUGGCGGCGUGCUUAACACAUGCAAGUCGAACGGAAAGGCCCUGCUUUUGUGGGGUGCUCGAGUGGCGAACGGGUGAGUAACACGUGAGUAACCUGCCCUUGACUUUGGGAUAACUUCAGGAAACUGGGGCUAAUACCGGAUAGGAGCUCCUGCUGCAUGGUGGGGGUUGGAAAGUUUCGGCGGUUGGGGAUGGACUCGCGGCUUAUCAGCUUGUUGGUGGGGUAGUGGCUUACCAAGGCUUUGACGGGUAGCCGGCCUGAGAGGGUGACCGGCCACAUUGGGACUGAGAUACGGCCCAGACUCCUACGGGAGGCAGCGGUGGGAAAUAUUGCACAAUGGGCGGAAGCCUGAUGCAGCAACGCCGCGUGCGGGAUGACGGCCUUCGGGUUGUAAACCGCUUUCGCCUGUGACGAAGCGUGAGUGACGGUAAUGGGUAAAGAAGCACCGGCUAACUACGUG
RNAcentral lists this ribosomal RNA (468 nucleotides) under uncultured bacterium. RNAcentral's name for it is "partial 16S ribosomal RNA". It matches the Rfam family "Bacterial small subunit ribosomal RNA", at positions 28 to 507 of the family's 1533-position model. The record is from RNAcentral.